UACGGAGGGUGCAAGCAUUAAUCGGAUUUAUUGGGCGUAAAGGGCGCGUAGGCGGUUUUGAAAGUCAGGUGUGAAAUUUCGGUGCUCAACAUCGAAGCUGCACUUGAAACUCCAAGGCUAGAGUUUAGGCGGAGAAAACAGAAUUCCAUGUGUAGCGGUGAAAUGUGUAGAUAUAUGGAAGAAUACCAGUGGCGAAAGCGGUUUUCUAGCUUAAUACUGACGCUGAGGCGCGAGAGCGGGGGGAGCAAACAGG
This 253-nucleotide ribosomal RNA is filed under the name uncultured bacterium. RNAcentral's name for it is "partial 16S ribosomal RNA". It matches the Rfam family "Bacterial small subunit ribosomal RNA", at positions 524 to 776 of the family's 1533-position model. The record is from RNAcentral.